RNAcentral lists this long non-coding RNA (353 nucleotides) under Anser brachyrhynchus (Pink-footed goose). RNAcentral describes it as "lncRNA (ENSABRG00000018231.1)". Lineage: Eukaryota; Metazoa; Chordata; Aves; Anseriformes; Anatidae. The record is from RNAcentral.
AAGCUAGUGUCUUCUUAACACAGAGCUCUAGACAUAGAAGCAUGCUGGAUGCUAAAGACAAGGUUUACAUGGAAUACAGUAGAAAUGAAUGACAAACUGCUGUUCAAAGUAAUGUGGGCCUGCCCAUGGAUACAAGGCCUUGACACCUAUCUCAUGCUGUUGACUCCCUGGAGGGAUGAGAGGCCUUGCAGAGGGAUCUAGAUAGAUUGGAGCAUGGAGCAAUCAUCAGCAGCAUGAAGUUCAACAAAGGAGAAUGCCAGGCACGGCACCAGUGACAGAGUAAUGCUGGUCACAAGUACAGACUGGGAGAUGAGUGGCUGGAGAUCAGCUCAGCAGAAAGGAAUCUAGGGGUG